AGCGAACGUUUGCGGCGGGCUUAACACAUGCAAGUCGAACGGGCUGUUCCUUCGGGGGCAGUCAGUGGCGCACGGGUGCGUAACACGUAGGUAAUCAACCCUCUGGUCGGGGAUAACACUUCGAAAGGAGUGCUAAUACCCGGUAUGGCGCAGCGGUCUUCGGAUCGCGGCGAGAAAGACCCGCAAGGGUUGCCAGAGGACGAGCCUGCGGCCCAUCAGCUAGUUGGCGAGGUAACGGCUCACCAAGGCGAAGACGGGUAGCUGGUCUGAGAGGAUGAUCAGCCACACUGGAACUGAGACACGGUCCAGACUCCUACGGGAGGCAGCAGUGGGGAAUAUUGCGCAAUGGGCGAAAGCCUGACGCAGCCACGCCGCGUGAGCGAUGAAGGCCUGGUCGUAAG
RNAcentral lists this ribosomal RNA (401 nucleotides) under uncultured bacterium. RNAcentral describes it as "bacterial SSU rRNA". It matches the Rfam family "Bacterial small subunit ribosomal RNA", at positions 30 to 429 of the family's 1533-position model. The record is from RNAcentral.